UGGAUCCAGCUUUGAUCAUGGCUCAGGAUGAACGCUAGCUACAGGCUUAACACAUGCAAGUCGAGGGGAAACGACAUCGAAAGCUGGCUUUUGGUGGGCGUCGACCGGCGCACGGGUGAGUAACGCGUAUCCAACCUGCCCACCACUUGGGGAUAACCUUGCGAAAGUAAGACUAAUACCCAAUGACGUCUCUAGAAGACAUCUGAAAGGGAUUAAAGAUUUAUCGGUGAUGGAUGGGGAUGCGUCUGAUUAGCUUGUUGGCGGGGUAACGGCCCACCAAGGCUACGAUCAGUAGGGGUUCUGAGAGGAAGGUCCCCCACAUUGGAACUGAGACACGGUCCAAACUCCUACGGGAGGCAGCAGUGAGGAAUAUUGGUCAAUGGACGAGAGUCUGAACCAGCCAAGUAGCGUGCAGGAUGACGGCCCUAUGGGUUGUAAACUGCUUUUAUAAGGGAAUAAAGUGAGUCUCGUGAGGCUUUUUGCAUGUACCUUAUGAAUAAGGACCGGCUAAUUCCGUGCCAGCAGCCGCGGUAAUACGGAAGGUCCGGGG
Molecule: ribosomal RNA, 550 nt
Filed under: uncultured Bacteroidota bacterium
Lineage: Bacteria; Pseudomonadati; Bacteroidota
Description: bacterial SSU rRNA
Rfam family: Bacterial small subunit ribosomal RNA
Source: RNAcentral